This is a long non-coding RNA of Daphnia carinata, 520 nucleotides long. RefSeq lists it as uncharacterized. The transcript is spliced from 3 exons. NCBI's taxonomy places the organism in Eukaryota, Metazoa, Arthropoda, Branchiopoda, Diplostraca, Daphniidae. The record is from RefSeq and is a predicted model, not a curated record.
ACGAAGUUGCCAACAUCCUAAAUGUUUGUAGCGGUUUGUUGUUACUUAAAUUUGAAUAUUUUGAGCGGUUUCAAAAUGAGAAAACUCGUGCAGUACCUCGUAGUUUGCAGAUUGAAAAGGACAAAAGAGGUGCAAAAGCUCCACUGUUUUUUUUUUUUUUUUUUUUCGAAGCGACUCGACCGACCAACGAGUCGGUAACUAAAGACAAACUGAAGCUCGGUGGAGCUUCUAUUAGUAUUGUGAGACUAAGAGUUAUAUAAAAAUAACGGAUUACUGGAUUCUCCAGUGAAUCUUCGGUUAGAAAGAUUGAACUCUGUGUCGCAGUGAACGAAACACCGAGGGGCAUCGAAGCCGGUUUCUUCUUUUUCCGGAUAACUCAAAGGACACAUUUUCAACAAAUCGAGGAAAAGAAAAAAAAAUGGCUACAUUCAGCGAGAAACUGGGAGUCCGGAACAAAAAGAAUUGCAAACGUGUCAACUGUUUUCACAUUGGGGCCUUUGUCAUCGUUUUUCUGUGGUAA